RNAcentral lists this ribosomal RNA (479 nucleotides) under uncultured bacterium. Its description in RNAcentral is "partial 16S ribosomal RNA". It matches the Rfam family "Bacterial small subunit ribosomal RNA", at positions 28 to 507 of the family's 1533-position model. The record is from RNAcentral.
GAUGAACGCUGGCGGCGUGCUUAACACAUGCAAGUCGAACGAAGCACUUUAACCUGAUUCUUCGGAUGAAGGUUUUUGUGACUGAGUGGCGGACGGGUGAGUAACGCGUGGGUAACCUGCCUCAUACAGGGGGAUAACAGUUAGAAAUGACUGCUAAUACCGCAUAAGACCACAGAGCCGCAUGGCUCGGUGGGAAAAACUCCGGUGGUAUGAGAUGGACCCGCGUCUGAUUAGGUAGUUGGUGGGGUAACGGCCUACCAAGCCAACGAUCAGUAGCCGACCUGAGAGGGUGACCGGCCACAUUGGGACUGAGACACGGCCCAAACUCCUACGGGAGGCAGCAGUGGGGAAUAUUGCACAAUGGGGGAAACCCUGAUGCAGCGACGCCGCGUGAGCGAAGAAGUAUUUCUGUAUGUAAAGCUCUAUCAGCAGGGAAGAAAAUGACGGUACCUGACUAAGAAGCACCGGCUAAAUACGUG